RNAcentral lists this ribosomal RNA (405 nucleotides) under Providencia alcalifaciens. Its description in RNAcentral is "bacterial SSU rRNA". It matches the Rfam family "Bacterial small subunit ribosomal RNA", at positions 340 to 737 of the family's 1533-position model. The record is from RNAcentral. Lineage: Bacteria; Pseudomonadati; Pseudomonadota; Gammaproteobacteria; Enterobacterales; Morganellaceae.
UACGGGGGGCNGCAGUGGGGAAUAUUGCACAAUGGGCGCAAGCCUGAUGCAGCCAUGCCGCGUGUAUGAAGAAGGCCUUAGGGUUGUAAAGUACUUUCAGUUGGGAGGAAGGCGUUGAUGCUAAUAUCAUCAGCGAUUGACGUUACCAACAGAAGAAGCACCGGCUAACUCCGUGCCAGCAGCCGCGGUAAUACGGAGGGUGCAAGCGUUAAUCGGAAUUACUGGGCGUAAAGCGCACGCAGGCGGUUGAUUAAGUUAGAUGUGAAAUCCCCGGGCUUAACCUGGGAAUGGCAUCUAAGACUGGUCAGCUAGAGUCUUGUAGAGGGGGGUAGAAUUCCAUGUGUAGCGGUGAAAUGCGUAGAGAUGUGGAGGAAUACCGGUGGCGAAGGCGGCCCCCUGGACAAA